UACGGAGGGUGCAAGCAUUGAUCGGAAUUACUGGGCGUAAAGGGCGCGUAGGCGGUUAGGUAAGUCAGAUGUGAAAUUCCGGGGCUCAACCCCGGAGCUGCAUAUGAAACUACCUGGCUAGAGUUCAGUUAGGGUAAACGGAAUUCCACGUGUAGCGGUGAAAUGCGUAGAUAUGUGGAAGAACACCGGUGGUGAAGACGGUUUACUGGGCUGAAACUGACGCUGAGGCGCGAAAGCAUGGGGAGCAAACAGG
RNAcentral lists this ribosomal RNA (253 nucleotides) under uncultured bacterium. Its description in RNAcentral is "partial 16S ribosomal RNA". It matches the Rfam family "Bacterial small subunit ribosomal RNA", at positions 524 to 776 of the family's 1533-position model. The record is from RNAcentral.